AUAAUACUCCCUCCGUCCCAAAAUCCUUGUCUUAGAUUUGUCUAGAUACGGAUGGACCUAAUACUAAAACGUGACUUCAUACAUCCGUAUUUGGACAAAUUUAAGACAAGAAUUUUGGGACGGAGGGAGUACUUC
Non-coding RNA from Triticum aestivum (bread wheat), 135 nucleotides. NCBI's taxonomy places the organism in Eukaryota, Viridiplantae, Streptophyta, Magnoliopsida, Poales, Poaceae. The record is from Rfam.